RNAcentral lists this ribosomal RNA (458 nucleotides) under uncultured bacterium. RNAcentral describes it as "partial 16S ribosomal RNA". It matches the Rfam family "Bacterial small subunit ribosomal RNA", at positions 338 to 795 of the family's 1533-position model. The record is from RNAcentral.
CCUACGGGAGGCAGCAGUGAGGAAUAUUGGUCAAUGGGCGAGAGCCUGAACCAGCCAAGUCGCGUGAGGGAGUACUGCCCUAUGGGUUGUAAACCUCUUUUGUCGGGGAGCAAAAGCCGGACGUGUCCGGCUGUGAGAGUACCCGAAGAAAAAGCAUCGGCUAACUCCGUGCCAGCAGCCGCGGUAAUACGGAGGAUGCGAGCGUUAUCCGGAUUUAUUGGGUUUAAAGGGUGCGCAGGCGGAUUUUUAAGUCAGCGGUAAAAUCGUGGGGCUCAACCCCAUCCAGCCGUUGAAACUGGGGAUCUAGAGUGUGCGAGAGGUAUGCGGAAUGCGUGGUGUAGCGGUGAAAUGCAUAGAUAUCACGCAGAACCCCGAUUGCGAAGGCAGCAUACCGGUGAACAACUGACGCUCAGGCACGAAAGCGUGGGUAUCGAACAGGAUUAGAUACCCCAGUAGUC